AGAGUUUGAUCAUGGCUCAGAACGAACGUUGGCGGCGUGGAUUAGGCAUGCAAGUCGAACGGAAAGGCCCCGCAAGGGGUACUCGAGUGGCGAAAGGGGCAGUAAUGCGUGGGUAACCUACCCCGGGGACGGGGACACUGAGGUAAUACUCGUCAAUUCCCGGCGAUGUAACGCGGUCGCAUGGCCGAGUUAUGAAAUGAAUUUCGCCUCGGGAGGGGCUCACGUGGUAUUAGCUAGUUGGUAGGGUAACGGCCUACCAAGGCAAAGAUGCCUAGCAGGCGUGAGAGCGUGACCUGCGCCACUGGCACUGAGACACUGGCCAGACUCCUACGGGAGGCUGCAGUCGAGGAUCUUCGGCAAUGGGCGAAAGCCUGACCGAGCGACGCCGCGUGCGCGAUGAAGGCCUUCGGGUUGUAAAGCGCCGUCGAGGGGGAGGAAGCCGAAAGGUUGACCUAUCCCUGGAGGAAGCACGGGCUAAGUUCGUGCCAGCAGCCGCGGUAAGACGAACCGUGCGAACGUUGUUCGGAAUCACUGGGCUUAAAGGGCGCGUAGGCGGGUGACCAAGUCAGGGGUGAAAUCUUUCGGCUUAACCGGAAAAUAGCCUUUGAUACUGGUUGUCUUGAGGGAGGUAGGGGCAUGUGGAACUUCCGGUGGAGCGGUGAAAUGUGUUGAUAUCGGAAGGAACGCCGGUGGCGAAAGCGACGUGCUGGACCUUUUCUGACGCUGAGGCGCGAAAGCUAGGGUAGCGAACGGGAUUAGAUACCCCCGUAGUCC
Molecule: ribosomal RNA, 774 nt
Filed under: uncultured bacterium
Lineage: Bacteria
Description: bacterial SSU rRNA
Rfam family: Bacterial small subunit ribosomal RNA
Source: RNAcentral